This is a long non-coding RNA of Lycium barbarum (goji berry), 1314 nucleotides long. RefSeq lists it as uncharacterized. NCBI's taxonomy places the organism in Eukaryota, Viridiplantae, Streptophyta, Magnoliopsida, Solanales, Solanaceae. The transcript has 2 exons. The record is from RefSeq and is a predicted model, not a curated record.
UUCAGCUAACUUAAAAGCCCAAAAAAUAGCAACCCAAACUUAACAUAUUCAGUUCACUCCAAUAGGGUCCAACAACCCAAUUCCGCCAACCCAACAAAAAAGCCCAACCCAUCAGCCCCUUUAGGAUUAUUUCAGAAUACAAACACCUAACCCUACUUCUCUCAUAUUUUCUUUUUGUUGUAAAAGUGACGCCUGCCCUGUCACCAUCAUAGCAGAUAGACGUUUUGUCUUCUUUCCACUUUGAUGAAGAUAUUUUGACUUUCAACAACUUUGGCCACGUGAACGUACACUCUAUUUCGUAAAAACAAACCCCUGUACUAGCGUUAGGUGUUCUUAGCUCUCACCAUUUCGAGACAAUUUUCUGCUCUCCCUUUUUCUUUAUCUGUCAUGGCUACCAGCUUUGCUAUGCCUCCAACGUUCAAAUCUGAACAGUCUUUGACCCAUUUCAAAAUUGUAAUCUCUCAAAUUCCCGCCCAAUGAAACCCUAACUAUUUCUUACCCCUAUAAAUAGUUGCUUCAAGUUCAUUUUCGAAGAGGUUUUUUUGGGGGGAGCAGCCUCACAGCGCUUUUUUACCUUAGGUUCUGGUCGCCACUCCUGCCUUCAAAAGCUCUUGUUUUCUUCUCUUUUUUUGCCUCCUAAAAAUAUGUUUUAUGUGUUCUAUCUCUCGUUCUUCAAACUCUGUUGAGUCUUAGCUGUUGGUCGACCUUUGCGUAAAAAAUCCACUGCUUGCUGCCAUCUUUUCUAUUUCUAAAAGCUACUUGAGUUCGAGGUCGGAGUCCAUCGAAUCCAAGACCCUGCACCCUAGUUCACUGCACCACAAAAAGCAAAUGGAGUCUUAAUUCGGGACUCUUUCAAAACGGAGUCUUAAGAUGAGACUCGAUGCUGUCACUAUAUCCUUGCAUGGAAUCGACACAAUCCUUAUUCCUUAACAUCAUCCCUCAGCAAGAAAACAAGUGAAACUCGCUUGAGAUCCUCAUCCACUUUAUUAGCUUAUUUCUCUCAUUCCCUCGAAAUACAUCGAACAAAAUUUGAGAAGAGGGACGAGAGAGAUGAAAAAUAAUCCUCUCUAUUCCUUUUCAGUUGUUAUUAUGUUAUGUUUGCUUCCUUUCUGUGAUUUUUUAACUUGUAUUAUGUGAUACUUAUUUAUCCUUCAGUUAAUAGGGUAGUUAUUUUGGUCUUCUAGGAAUUUCCACUUAGUAGACAGUUUUAAACAGGUAACUAUACCAAAACGUUAGGCCUAUUAAGCUUUGAUAAUAAUUUAUUGAAUCCUUUCAGUAAAAUCUUUUGUUAUAUAGUCCCAGAAUCUUUAAUUU